RNAcentral lists this microRNA (22 nucleotides) under Drosophila ananassae. RNAcentral describes it as "Dan-Novel-17_3p (mature (co-guide))". Lineage: Eukaryota; Metazoa; Arthropoda; Insecta; Diptera; Drosophilidae. The record is from RNAcentral.
AAAGCCUAAUGCCCAGAAAGCG